GGGGUUGUGACUCAGUGGUAGAGCGCUUGCCUAGCAUGUAUGAGGCACUGGGUUCGAUUCUCAGCUCCA
RNAcentral lists this transfer RNA (69 nucleotides) under Marmota monax (woodchuck). It matches the Rfam family "tRNA". From Rfam's summary of the family: Transfer RNA (tRNA) molecules are approximately 80 nucleotides in length. Their secondary structure includes four short double-helical elements and three loops (D, anti-codon, and T loops). The record is from Rfam by way of RNAcentral. Lineage: Eukaryota; Metazoa; Chordata; Mammalia; Rodentia; Sciuridae.